Molecule: unclassified non-coding RNA, 480 nt
Filed under: Hevea brasiliensis (rubber tree)
Lineage: Eukaryota; Viridiplantae; Streptophyta; Magnoliopsida; Malpighiales; Euphorbiaceae
Source: RNAcentral
GUUUGUGACCAUUUUUCUCUUGUUUCUUUUCAUAAUUGCCUUCUCCUCUACCACCAAUGGAGCAAUAUAUAGAAUUCAUAGCUUAAGGCCCCAUCAAGAAACCAAUGAUGUCAUGCAUGUUUUUGAACCUACUACUUAUAGUCUCCUCCCUAAAGGCUCUCCCAUUCCACCUUCAGGGCCAUCAAAGAGACACAAUGACUACGGAGGAUAUGAUAAAGGUCCGGACGCUCCGGCGAAGGAUGGUGGUGAUGGUGUCUUUCCAUGAGUAUUCCAAGAGUUUGCAAGACCUUAAUUAGAGAGAUUGUGAUCAUGUAUUCGCUCAGUUGGUAAAUGAGUUUCUUUCUGUAUUAAUAUAAUUUUAUGCACGCAUGAAUGAUAAUAUUAGUGUGUGUGGGAAAGAAAACACAGGGUUUUGUGAUUCUAGAAUUCAAACUUUUUUUUUCCUUGAUUUUUCAUUAUUAGAUGUAUUUUCUUCUAUCU